RNAcentral lists this ribosomal RNA (244 nucleotides) under uncultured Actinomycetales bacterium. RNAcentral's name for it is "partial 16S ribosomal RNA". It matches the Rfam family "Bacterial small subunit ribosomal RNA", at positions 89 to 334 of the family's 1533-position model. Lineage: Bacteria; Bacillati; Actinomycetota; Actinomycetes; Actinomycetales. The record is from RNAcentral.
GAUCGAGUGGCGAACGGGUGAGUAACACGUGAGUAACCUGCCCUUGACUUUGGGAUAACUUCAGGAAACUGGGGCUAAUACCGGAUAGGAGCUCCUGCUGCAUGGUGGGGGUUGGAAAGUUUCGGCGGUUGGGGAUGGACUCGCGGCUUAUCAGCUUGUUGGUGGGGUAGUGGCUUACCAAGGCUUUGACGGGUAGCCGGCCUGAGAGGGUGACCGGCCACAUUGGGACUGAGAUACGGCCCAG